GGCGGAGGAGGGCGGAUGAUGCAAGGGCUUGGCAUCACGCUCAGCGAUCGCCACACUGCCGAGGGAGGCAGCGCUGGGACCCACCGACCGCCCGGCCCUGGCAGCGGGUGCGGCGCUGGGACCGCGCAGCCCCUCGGUGCCAGUGGAACACUUGUUGCUGUUUGCUAACAGGCUUUGAAGACUUCCAGAGUCUGCUUAAUAAUGAAGAAGCUGCCAUAGGAGAUAAAACAGUGAAUACAGAUAACGCAACGAAGCCUGAAAAUGGGGACAGAGAAAACUCUCCAGGCCAAAUGGAAAUCUACUGGGACUCUCUAAAUGAACCAAAGAGGAGUUUAUUCCCCUGUUCUAAGAAUUAUGAAAUCAUUCUCAAUUAGAAAUCCUUCUCAAUUCCAAAUAAGGAUUGUUGUUAUUUAUUAACACCAUCUCUAACCAAGGAUAUCUCUAUGGUUUAAAAUGAGAACAAACUGAGCCUCACAACUGUCGUUUUUACAAUUCCAGUCUCGCAUCUUGUUCCUAGUUAUAGCUGUGGAUCAUUCCUGGCUAAACCAGAAGGAGUACUGGUGUAAAAUGAAGGGUGAACACUCUGGAAAUCAUGUCCUGUCAUCUGCUGAGCCCACUCUGCCCCAUGUGUCUUUCAGUCAUAUAAUAAUUUAUUGAACUGUGAACCUAUUCACUAAAACAUUCUAUUACAUAACUAUAAUCUCCUUUCAGUGCAGCUCGAACUAGCACCAGUGGAAGUUUUACCUGCAAAUUCUU
This is a long non-coding RNA of Myiozetetes cayanensis, 756 nucleotides long. RefSeq lists it as uncharacterized. The record is from RefSeq and is a predicted model, not a curated record. The transcript is spliced from 3 exons. NCBI's taxonomy places the organism in Eukaryota, Metazoa, Chordata, Aves, Passeriformes, Tyrannidae.